Molecule: ribosomal RNA, 541 nt
Filed under: Bifidobacterium dentium
Lineage: Bacteria; Bacillati; Actinomycetota; Actinomycetes; Bifidobacteriales; Bifidobacteriaceae
Description: bacterial SSU rRNA
Rfam family: Bacterial small subunit ribosomal RNA
Source: RNAcentral
GUGGUAAUGCCGGAUGCUCCGGUUGGAUGCAUGUCCUUCCGGGAAAGAUUCCAUCGGUAUGGGAUGGGGUCGCGUCCUAUCAGCUUGAUGGCGGGGUAACGGCCCACCAUGGCUUCGACGGGUAGCCGGCCUGAGAGGGCGACCGGCCACAUUGGGACUGAGAUACGGCCCAGACUCCUACGGGAGGCAGCAGUGGGGAAUAUUGCACAAUGGGCGCAAGCCUGAUGCAGCGACGCCGCGUGCGGGAUGGAGGCCUUCGGGUUGUAAACCGCUUUUGAUCGGGAGCAAGCCCUUCGGGGUGAGUGUACCCUUCGAAUAAGCACCGGCUAACUACGUGCCAGCAGCCGCGGUAAUACGUAGGGUGCAAGCGUUAUCCGGAAUUAUUGGGCGUAAAGGGCUCGUAGGCGGUUCGUCGCGUCCGGUGUGAAAGCCCAUCGCUUAACGGUGGGUCUGCGCCGGGUACGGGCGGGCUGGAGUGCGGUAGGGGAGACUGGAAUUCCCGGUGUAACGGUGGAAUGUGUAGAUAUCGGAAAGAACACCA